CACGGCUUAACUGUGAGCGUGCGGGCGAUACGGGCAGACUUGAGUACUGCAGGGGAGACUGGAAUUCCUGGUGUAGCGGUGGAAUGCGCAGAUAUCAGGAGGAACACCGGUGGCGAAGGCGGGUCUCUGGGCAGUAACUGACGCUGAGGAGCGAAAGCGUGGGGAGCGAACAGGAUUAGAUACCCUGGUAGUCCACGCCGUAAACGGUGGGUACUAGGUGUGGGUUUCCUUCCUUGGGAUCCGUGCCGUAGCUAACGCAUUAAGUACCCCGCCUGGGGAGUACGGCCGCAAGGCUAAAACUCAAAGAAAUUGACGGGGGCCCGCACAAGCGGCGGAGCAUGUGGAUUAAUUCGAUGCAACGCGAAGAACCUUACCUGGGUUUGACAUGCACAGGACGCCGGCAGAGAUGUCGGUUCCCUUGUGGCCUGUGUGCAGGUGGUGCAUGGCUGUCGUCAGCUCGUGUCGUGAGAUGUUGGGUUAAGUCCCGCAACGAGCGCAACCCUUGUCUCAUGUUGCCAGCGGGUAAUGCCGGGGACUCGUGAGAGACUGCCGGGGUCAACUCGGAGGAAGGUGGGGAUGACGUCAAGUCAUCAUGCCCCUUAUGUCCAGGGCUUCACACAUGCUACAAUGGCCGGUACAAAGGGCUGCGAUGCCGCUAGGUUAAGCGAAUCCUUUUAAAGCCGGUCUCAGUUCGGAUCGGGGUCUGCAACUCGACCCCGUGAAGUCGGA
RNAcentral lists this ribosomal RNA (729 nucleotides) under uncultured bacterium. Its description in RNAcentral is "bacterial SSU rRNA". It matches the Rfam family "Bacterial small subunit ribosomal RNA", at positions 603 to 1330 of the family's 1533-position model. The record is from RNAcentral.